RNAcentral lists this ribosomal RNA (451 nucleotides) under uncultured bacterium. RNAcentral's name for it is "bacterial SSU rRNA". It matches the Rfam family "Bacterial small subunit ribosomal RNA", at positions 343 to 791 of the family's 1533-position model. The record is from RNAcentral.
UGGAGGCAGCAGUGAGGAAUAUUGGUCAAUGGGCGCAAGCCUGAACCAGCCAUCCCGCGUGCAGGAAGAAGGCGCUAUGCGUUGUAAACUGCUUUUUCAGGGGAAGAAUGUUUCGUAUGUAUACGGAAUUGACGGUACCUUGAGAAUAAGCAUCGGCUAACUCCGUGCCAGCAGCCGCGGUAAUACGGAGGAUGCGAGCGUUAUCCGGAUUUAUUGGGUUUAAAGGGUGCGUAGGCGGAUUGAUAAGUCAGUGGUGAAAUACUGCAGCUUAACUGUAGAAUUGCCGUUGAUACUGUCAGUCUUGAGUAUGGUUAAGGUAGGCGGAAUGUGUAAUGUAGCGGUGAAAUGCUUAGAUAUUACACAGAACACCGAUUGCGAAGGCAGCUUACUGAGCCAAAACUGACGCUGAGGCACGAAAGCGUGGGGAGCGAACAGGAUUAGAUACCCCGGU